AAUUGGCUGCUGGCGAUUUCUGUAAACAAGGCUUAAGGGUUAUUGUAUUUUCUACAGUCUUUGGAUGAACAUGUGUGGACAUGUUCUUGAUUGGAAUUUUUAAAUGUGGCUGACACAAUCGGCCGAUUUUUUGUUAUCUCCAUUCAACUUUUACGUUCUACAUUUUUGUGCUUUAUAUCGUUUUUAUCUCGUUUUUGUCUUGCGGAUGUAUUGUCCCAGUAUUCUUUUUUUUAUCCCUUGGUCGUUGGUCCCUUGGCUCUAGUUGGCCCCCAGUUUCCUGUGAAAGAGACGGAUGCUAUAAUAUAUUAAAGAAGAAGAAGAAGAUUGAAUUUUCACGAUUUGUAUUAUUAUUAAACUACAACUUUGUGACUAAAGAAGAAAAUGUCUACAAAAAAGAAAGUUAAUGAGUCAGAUCAAAUUAAUAAUGAACUGGAAGAAAAUAGAAAUCUUGUAGUGAGUAUUGAGAAUACCACUUGUACUCGAAGUGUCGCCAGAGAACAUUUUGGCAUGCUUAAAGAUGAUGAAAAAUAUAUUGUAGUUGAUAAAUUCCGCGUAUAUUGUAAAAUAUGUUUUAUGGAUCUUGAUGGACGAAAAAUAUAUAGAUACAAAGAAAGUGGAAAUUUACUGGCCCAUUUGACAGAAAAACAUAACAUCAAAUCAACACAUUUGUCAAAUAAAAAAGCCAAUAUUAGAAGAUUCUUUCAAUCUCAUUUACAAGCUAAUAAAUCGUCCACAUCUUCGAAAAAUAUUAACAAAAAAAAGAACUAAGUGACAGCAUAAUUAUCUGGUUUUGUAGAGAUCUCAUCCCAUUUUUAAAACUUUAAAAGAUGGACUAAAAGAUUUUUUAACAAUACAUGGUGUUAUACGAAAUGAAUCUGAUCUGCCACACCCAAGUACAUUAUCUCGCAAUUCGCUCUCAAGAGUACUUAAUGACUGCGUACUUGCUGUAAAAGCAAAAAUAAAUGAAGAUAACCCAAAUGCAAUCGUACUAACCGUGGAUGCAUGUACUGACAAUUAUUGUUAUAUUCCAUAUAUGACUUUCACUUUACAUUGGAUAUCGCCCACAGAAAUGCAGUUGGAGUCAUGUACGCUACAAACAAGCUUCUUACCACAUACACACACAUACUGCAAAUAACAUUAUUGCAGUAUUGAAAAAAGCACUAACACAAUUUAACUUAAACGAUAAAGUUAUAACUCUUGUAACUGAUGGAGGAACAAAUAUGAUAAAAGCCGCAAGAGAUAUGAAAUAUGACAGGGUACCUUGUAUUGCACACGGACUUCACAAUCUAGUGACAGUAGACACUCUUUCUAAAUUACCAGAAGUUCAUGGUCUUAUAAUUAAAGCUAGAAGUAUUAUAUUAUAAAAAUUCUUGCUUUCAAAACCUUCGAUAUUGAAAAAACAAAAGAAUUAUCUGAGCAAGAGGACAUUAAUAGGAUAUUCGAUGCUGAGAAUCUAGAAGAGAUUUUAGAAGCUGAUGACUACAUAAAGAUGUAUCAACCAGAUGGAAUAAUACAUUAGAGAUGUUGUCAAGUUUACUUAAAAAUAAAGACAAUGAAUGGCAAGAGAUGGAAGAUAUAGCAAACUGUUUAACAAGCAUUAAAACAGCAACAGAAAUUUUUUCUGGAGUAGAAUAUCCAACAAUCAACCUUGCACUUUUAUUUAGGUUUGUAAGAUAUUUUUGAAUGAAUAUUUUUAAGAAAUUCAAAAUUAAGGGUAAUAUUAUAAAAUGUGUGUUAGUAAAUGCAUCAAAUUCAUGCAGCUUU
RNAcentral lists this long non-coding RNA (1764 nucleotides) under Monomorium pharaonis (pharaoh ant). RNAcentral's name for it is "uncharacterized LOC118648904". Lineage: Eukaryota; Metazoa; Arthropoda; Insecta; Hymenoptera; Formicidae. The record is from RNAcentral.